UACGUAGGGCGCAAGCGUUGUCCGGAAUUAUUGGGCGUAAAGAGCUCGUAGGCGGUUUGUCGCGUCUGCUGUGAAAACCUAAGGCUCAACCUUGGGCUUGCAGUGGGUACGGGCAGACUAGAGUGCGGUAGGGGUGACUGGAAUUCCUGGUGUAGCGGUGGAAUGCGCAGAUAUCAGGAGGAACACCGAUGGCGAAGGCGGGUCACUGGGCCGCAACUGACGCUGAGGAGCGAAAGCAUGGGGAGCGAACAGG
Molecule: ribosomal RNA, 253 nt
Filed under: uncultured bacterium
Lineage: Bacteria
Description: partial 16S ribosomal RNA
Rfam family: Bacterial small subunit ribosomal RNA
Source: RNAcentral